UUUCUGGAAUUACUGGGGCGUAAAGCGUCCGUAGGCGGUAUUAUUACAGUCUGAUGUGAAAUCCCGGGGCUCAACUUUGGAACUGCCUUUGAAACUGCUAGUCUUGAUUUCGAGAGAGGUAGAGUGGAAUUCCAAGUGUAGCGGUGAAAUGCGUAGAUAUUGGGAGGAACACCAAUGGCGAAGGCGGUUCACUGGGCUCUAUACUGACGCUAAAGUACAAAAGUGUGGGGAGCAAAGGGGAUUAGAUACCCUGGUAGUCCACACCGUAAACGAUGAUUGCUAGAGUUCGGGAGGCUUGCCCUUCCGUGUCACAACUAAAGGAUUUAACAUUCCCCCCGGGGAGUACUGUCGCGACAUGAAUUAAGACUCUCAGAAGAUUGUGCGGGG
Molecule: ribosomal RNA, 387 nt
Filed under: uncultured bacterium
Lineage: Bacteria
Description: bacterial SSU rRNA
Rfam family: Bacterial small subunit ribosomal RNA
Source: RNAcentral